CGCCGCUGCUAGAGGCGCGUCUCGCUGCCUCCUCCCCGCGCCUCCCGUCUCCUCCUCCCUCCCUCCUCCUCCUCUCCGCCCCUCCCCCGCCCGACCAACCCCAACUCCCAGCCCCCCACCCGCUCCUUUUUCUGCUCCCUCAGUGAGCCGGCGCGCGAGAAGGCAAGGCGGGGCGGCGCGAGCGGAGCAGGCACCCCCGCGCGCUCGCCCACCGCCCGCUCCGCGCAGCUCCCGCGCGGGCCGCUCUCGUCUCCUCCGCAGCGGGCGCGUCGGAGGGAGCCCAGCAUGGCCGGGCCGGGCUCGCCGCGCCGCGCGUCCCGGGGGGCCUCGGCGCUUCUCGCCGCCGCGCUUCUCUACGCCGCGCUGGGGGACGUGGUGCGCUCGGAGCAGCAGAUACCGCUCUCCGUGGUGAAGCUCUGGGCCUCGGCUUUUGGUGGGGAGAUAAAAUCCAUUGCUGCUAAGUACUCCGGUUCCCAGCUUCUGCAAAAGGCAAAUACAUGAAUACCAAACCACCCGAUAAUUGUGAAAUCCAUUGGGCCUGAGCCGACACAGUUAUUGUUUCCAGUUUUUGAUGAAGACAUAGCCAUGUGUCAGCAUGAGCAAAAGUAAAAGAAAUGCGAAACCAUCACCCCCAGCACCUGUGGCCCUUCCAG
RNAcentral lists this long non-coding RNA (653 nucleotides) under Rhinopithecus bieti (black snub-nosed monkey). Its description in RNAcentral is "lncRNA (ENSRBIG00000045175.1)". Lineage: Eukaryota; Metazoa; Chordata; Mammalia; Primates; Cercopithecidae. The record is from RNAcentral.